Molecule: ribosomal RNA, 350 nt
Filed under: Dentiscutata erythropus
Lineage: Eukaryota; Fungi; Glomeromycota; Glomeromycetes; Diversisporales; Gigasporaceae
Description: partial large subunit ribosomal RNA
Source: RNAcentral
AGAGUUAAAUAGUACGUGAAAUUGUUGAAAGGGAAACGAUUAAAGUCAGCUGUGCCGGCGGGAAAUCAGCUUACAAGUUAUUGUGAGUGCACUUUCUCGCAAGGCAGGUUAGCAUCGGUUUUGGUUGCGUUAAAAUGAUUGCAAGAAGGUAGCUCCUUCGGGAGUGUUAUAGCUUGCUUUAGAUGACGUAGCUGAGACCGAGGAUUGCAGCGAAUGCUUUUGGCUACGGAUCUGGCCUCUGUCGACGAUUAAUUGGCCGUGAGCUUGCUCACGUACGGUUGAUUUGUUUACAACAGGUUUAGAAUCCGAUAAAUUCGCUAAGGAUGCUGACAUAAUGGCUUUAAACGACC